Long non-coding RNA from Amphimedon queenslandica, 204 nucleotides. RefSeq lists it as uncharacterized. NCBI's taxonomy places the organism in Eukaryota, Metazoa, Porifera, Demospongiae, Haplosclerida, Niphatidae. The record is from RefSeq and is a predicted model, not a curated record. The transcript has 2 exons.
UUACAUUCCAUUGUUAGGUUAGUGACAUUAAGAGGAUAAGUACAAUUCUCUGCUAUUGAAGACUACAUUGAGAAGUUAAUUGUUUGCUGUUUGAAGCUGUACAUUAACUGAAGACUAUAAAGAAUUACUUACCAUUAUUAUUUAUAAUUUUAGCAUAAUUUGUUUAAUACACAAAGUUGUCUUUUUAUCAUUGAUUAUUAUGAA